UUCAUUAAAAUCAACAAAAUAAUAAUAUGCAAAAUUUGGGCUUUCUCGGUUGAAUUUCACCCAUCAGCAUUUAUUUAUCAACUCGAAUCCCUGAGCGUUCCAAGAAAAGUUACCAGAAAUGUCCCCACAUAAACCAGCCCAGGCAACUAAGCUCGAGAAGAUUAAUAACUCGCCAGCGCACGUUCAAUUAAUCUUUCGCUGCGCCUGCUCCGAAAGUGCAACUGGAUCCGGCAGACAUGGAAAUCGAAGUCCCACCCACUGACAACUUAACGGCACGUCUCCGGAACGGAUUCCCGGGAUCCGAUGGGACAGUAGCCGACGAAAUGGGAUGGUGGCACUGGGAUGGAAUGAGGUGUACCUGCCGUAUUGUCAGUGUCAAUUGUGACAGUGCCUGCGACAGAGGCUCACUCCCCGAAAACAAACAAACGGACACGUUCUCCUGGGGGGAGAAGAUGGCCCCAUGAUGAUGCCAAGCAUUUGCCCAUGAACGUGACAAAACUGAAGAACACGCUGCCGGGAAUCCGGCUAAAUUAGUUGUUUUAGCUGCGUCUAAAUUUAGGAGCUACUGCGACCCCUCGGCCUAUUCGGGGAUUUUGGGCGUGCGGCAAUCCAUUGGCCAUAAAUCAAUUAUACGGCCCCAACCGUAUUUAUAGACCGGCUUCUGUUCAGGUGCAUGGCUCAAAUUUAUGUAAAUACAAUGCUGACAGCUCGAGCCUGGUUGUGCCUUCUAAAUUAGCAUAAAAUAUAAAUCGGAAAUCAUUUGUAAUAAUUAGGGCGACAUUUGCUGCCGUUUUCGACACAGAUUUUUUGGCAGAAAAAAUGGGACUCUUCCCAAGAGUUUUCGCUUGCACUUAAUUCGUUUAAUUAGGAAUCCCGCGGGCAAACAAAUGCUUUUGACUUCAUUAUGGCCAGGGAAUAUAAAAAAAAAAACAUGCGAAAGCUGUCAGCUAAAUUGAUGCACCCUCAAGCAUUGGAUUACAAAAGCAGUGAGCCCACAAAAACACGAAAACAAAAGCAAAUGAGGCUGAAGUUGCAGCAGCAGCACCACCAGCUGAACCAGCUCAUCCACCAUCCUCCAUCUGAACCACCAGCACGCAACUUGACUCCUUCCUGCUCACCACAAAAAAUAUCGAGGAGUUUCUGCAGGAGCAGUCGAACAGUUGAAUUUUAUUUGAAUUAGCAACGCGCAAUCAAAAACAUUCAAACACGCAUAAAUUGAAUCCCGUGGGAUGAUUUCUGUUUCGGGUUCCCAGUGGCGUGGUGGCGUGGUGGCAACCCCCUCGACGUCCAGCCAGCAACUUGUCACGUGAUUCCAAUAACAAAUAACUCCUGCAACGGAUCAUCCCUUAGUCCUGCAGCGGAGCCGCGACGAAAUCCAGCCGGAACCCGUAUUUCGCAGAGCGUGGAGAUCACAACACAUCUCGGCCAGCUGAGCACACCGGUUCGUUACAGGAUUUUGGCGCCAAAUACCCGGGGCAUGGAAUAAUCAGUUCAAAGACGAAAUCAGUUCCUUGUGGUACGUGUCACAGGCGGCAGAUGUGGGAAUGGAUGGCGGUCGGGGGGUGCGACUCCUUGCAAGACGCUCGACGAGGGGUUGGUCGGAAAGUAACGUCCAAAACUGCAGUUCCACCACCAUCAAUAUUCCGAAGAAGGUUGUCUGGUGAUGCUGCGGAUUUUGGGGUGGGCCAACUGCGCCAGGUAGAUUUGCACGAACCUCUCUCUUUUGGCGCAUUCCAAGGCACUCGGCUCCGAUCGGAAAAAUAAAGCCAGGUAACUGUGCGGGCACAUGCCCAUUUUGGGGUGGAUUGAUUGGAGGUCUCUGGCAGAUGGUGAGAUUCUUUAAUAUCGGGAAUUGAAAUUUCAUGGCCUUUAGGGGGUUAUUUCUGCCGAGUGCACCGAUAAACGAGGAGGAGGAGGACCGGAACAAUACUCUGGGAAAGGUUGAUUUACCUUAGAUCUGCGCGCUGUUUGUCCUGGUGAUUAAUAUUUCUGUGGACGUCCAAGUGGGUACAUUGCAUUGUUGGUGGGCUCGAUUUAAUGGCGGAGCCAAUGUCACGUGCUGAUCCUACUCAGCUGCCAGCUGGAGAGGAUCGCUCCGAAAAGAUCAUCUAGAAACCUAAGUGCUUAUUUUCUUCUGUAACUGCGAGAUCUCUAACAUAAA
Drosophila santomea is the source of this 2161-nucleotide long non-coding RNA. RefSeq lists it as uncharacterized. The transcript is spliced from 4 exons. Lineage: Eukaryota; Metazoa; Arthropoda; Insecta; Diptera; Drosophilidae. The record is from RefSeq and is a predicted model, not a curated record.